UGGGGAAUCUUGGACAAUGGGCGCAAGCCUGAUCCAGCCAUGCCGCGUGAGUGAUGAAGGCCCUAGGGUCGUAAAGCUCUUUCGCCAGGGAUGAUAAUGACAGUACCUGGUAAAGAAACCCCGGCUAACUCCGUGCCAGCAGCCGCGGUAAUACGGAGGGGGUUAGCGUUGUUCGGAAUUACUGGGCGUAAAGCGCACGUAGGCGGAUCAGAAAGUUGGGGGUGAAAUCCCGGGGGCUCAACCCCGGAACUGCCUCCAAAACUCCUGGUCUAGAGUUCGAGAGAGGUGAGUGGAAUUCCGAGUGUAGAGGUGAAAUUCGUAGAUAUUCGGAGGAACACCAGUGGCGAAGGCGGCUCACUGGCUCGAUACUGACGCUGAGGUGCGAAAGUGUGGGGAGCAAACAGGAUUAGAUACCCUGGUAGUCCACACCGUAAAACGAUGAAUGCCAGUCGUCGGGUAGCAUGCUAUUCGGUGACACACCUAACGGAUUAAGCAUUCCGCCUGGGGAGUACGGUCGCAAGAUUAAAAACUC
Molecule: ribosomal RNA, 532 nt
Filed under: uncultured bacterium
Lineage: Bacteria
Description: bacterial SSU rRNA
Rfam family: Bacterial small subunit ribosomal RNA
Source: RNAcentral